GGUACAAACUACUUCAACAGAGGCUGUGACUACAAGGAUGACAACAACAAACCAAGAAGAAGCAACAACUCAUCUCCUCACAAUCCCAUUGUGUGCCAAAUCUGUGGAAAAAGAGGACAUUGUGCAUACAACUGUUAUCAGAGAAAUUCUCAGCCCCAUAAUAUUGCUUUGAGCUCAUAUGUGAAAUGUCAAAUCUGCAGGACUUCUGGACACAUUGCCAAACUUUGCAGAUACAAGCAGCAGUCACAAACCUCCUCUCAACCCAAGUCCGCUUCCAUUGCUGCUCAACCAAGUUCCUGUUCUUCCAUGCCACUUAUUUCUCCUGUUGACGUACACAUAUGGUGUGAUAGCUUCCAGGUUUAUUCACCAUGGUUUUCUGCUCUUCUCAACAAUUAUACAUAUGUUCCAGCUUGAUGAUAGCAUCCUCCCAUCAAGCUGAGGAGGGGUGUUAGGAUUGUGAUCAAAUAUAUCUGUUGAAUAUUGUUGCUUUUCUGCUAUUAGCUUAAUAAGGUCCGUUAGCGAUCAGUUUCUUUGUGGUCAUCAGUUCUCUUACACGCGUACCUCAUCUGUUCUUUUCAGCUAGUAUAAGUAUGUACUCAGCUUUCAUUUUGUAAUCAACCUGAUACGCAAUACAAUUUCUCUCUAAUUUCCUCUGUAUUUUCUGGGCUUCUCUAUUAGAGCUUUCAGGCCGGAAAACCGACUGGAACAAUUUCGGACCCAAAACAGGGCCUAAUAGUCGGAACUGGGAAUUGAGGUUGAGAAUGAAAAUUGCAGUAGAAGGAUGUAUGCACGGUGACCUGGAGAACCCUCCAACACAUAGAAAAAGUUCAUAACACCAAAAUCGACCUCCUCCUCUGCUGUGGCGACCGACUUUCAGGCUGUGAGGAAUGAGAAGGAGUUGGAGAGCUUGAGUGUGCCCCCCAAGUACCGGUCCAUGAACUCCUUCUGGAAGUACUAUUCCGGCGAGGAGAUCGCUCCCUACCCCACCAUAUUCAUCGGUGGCAAUCACGAAGCUUCUAAUUAUUUGUGGGAACUGUACUAGUACUACGGUGGGUGGGCGGCACCUAAUAUAUACUUCUUGGGGUUUUCUGGGGUAGUUAAGUUCGGAAACCUU
RNAcentral lists this long non-coding RNA (1114 nucleotides) under Rosa chinensis. Its description in RNAcentral is "sRNA RchiOBHm_Chr1g0357351". Lineage: Eukaryota; Viridiplantae; Streptophyta; Magnoliopsida; Rosales; Rosaceae. The record is from RNAcentral.